CCUGGUGGUCAUUGCGGGGUUGCCGCACCCGGUCCCAUUCCGAACCCGGCCGUGAAAAGCCCCAGCGCCGAUGGUACUGCGUCUCAAGACGUGGGAGAGUAGGUCGCCGCCAGGU
This 115-nucleotide ribosomal RNA is filed under the name Pararhizobium mangrovi. Lineage: Bacteria; Pseudomonadati; Pseudomonadota; Alphaproteobacteria; Hyphomicrobiales; Rhizobiaceae. The record is from RNAcentral.